AUUAUGGGAUGGAGCACAAUGGGGUGGGAUAUUAUGGGAUGGAGCACUAUGGGGUGGGAUAUUAUGGGAUGGAGCACUAUGGGGUGGGAUAGUAUGGGAUGGAGCACUAUGGGAUGGGCAUUAUGGGAUGGGGAUGAUGGGGUGGGAUGUUAUGGGAUGGAGCACUGUGGGGCGGGAUAUUAUGGGAUGGAGCACUAUGGGAUGGGGAUGAUGGGGUGGGAUAUUAUGGGAUGGAGCACGGUGGGGUGGGAUAUUAUGGGAUGGAGCACGAUGGGAUGGGGAUGAAGGGAUGGGGAUGAUGGGGUGGGGUAUUAUUAUGGGAUGGAGCACUAUGGGAUGGGGAUGAUGGGGUGGGAUAUUACGGGAUGGAGCACGGUGGGGUGGGAUCGGAAGGGGUGGGGUAUUAUGGGAUGGAGCAUGAUGGGGUGGGAUAUUAUGGGAUGGGGAUGACGGGGCGGGAUAUUAUGGGAUGGAGCACUAUGGGGUGGGAUAUUAUGGGAUGGAGCACAAUGGGGUGGGAUAUUAUGGGAUGGAGCACUAUGGGAUGGGGAUGAUGGGGUGGGAUAUUAUGGGAUGGAGCACGAUGGGGUGGGAUAUUAUGGGAUGGAGCACGGUGGGAUGGGGAGGAUGGGGUGGGGUAUUAUUAUGGGAUGGAGCAUGUUGGGGUGGGAUCGGACGGGGCGGGGUAUUAUGGGGUGGCCGCCAGCGCGCUGUGUCUGUGCAGGGGCGCGGUGCUGGGGGGGCUGAGCCCCGCCCUCAUGGCCCCCCGCCCCAUGGCCGCCAUCCAAGGUUGGUGGGGGCGGGGCGAGCGCACGCGCGUGUGCAAAAGGGGAGGGAGCGUGGAGCCCG
This 849-nucleotide long non-coding RNA is filed under the name Numida meleagris (helmeted guineafowl). Its description in RNAcentral is "lncRNA (ENSNMEG00000006464.1)". Lineage: Eukaryota; Metazoa; Chordata; Aves; Galliformes; Numididae. The record is from RNAcentral.